CUGCGGANGNACAUUGUCGAAACCUGCCCAGCAGAGAGACCCGCGAAC
RNAcentral lists this ribosomal RNA (48 nucleotides) under Ficus setiflorus. Its description in RNAcentral is "partial 18S ribosomal RNA". The record is from RNAcentral. Lineage: Eukaryota; Viridiplantae; Streptophyta; Magnoliopsida; Rosales; Moraceae.